ACGGACUGAUGCGUACAAAGUCUAAUCUUUUCCUUAUAUUGCUCUCAUGCUUCAAAGAGCGGUUCACCAUCAUUCUGCUUAAAGUAGGAGAUCUAGUUCCUUUACUGU
Vicia villosa (hairy vetch) is the source of this 108-nucleotide small nucleolar RNA. The record is from RefSeq and is a predicted model, not a curated record. Lineage: Eukaryota; Viridiplantae; Streptophyta; Magnoliopsida; Fabales; Fabaceae.